RNAcentral lists this long non-coding RNA (1331 nucleotides) under Nicotiana benthamiana. Its description in RNAcentral is "long non-coding RNA (NBEN_LNC008415)". Lineage: Eukaryota; Viridiplantae; Streptophyta; Magnoliopsida; Solanales; Solanaceae. The record is from RNAcentral.
UCAGAUACAUACGUCCUUUUACUGAUUUCAAUAGUUUUGAGUCUCAAAUUUAAAAAAAAUUAUUUUUUUGCAAAUAAAUCCAUGAUAGAUAUUAUUUUAUAAACAACAAUGGGAAGUGAUAAUCAUGAAACCAAGGAAAAUUUUAUCUAGGCACAUAAAACUCCAAAGUCACGCAUCAAUUAGAAAUAAGAUAAAGCCAAAAUUAGACCUUUCAAUGUAGCAAAGCUCUUUCAGAUUUGAAUAAUGGCAAAAACCCCAAAGCAAAGGUACAACAAAUGUUCUGUUUCACUUAAAAGUACAACAGUGAGCUCCGAUCGCAAAUCAUCUAAAGUUGAACCGUGAGUGGAAUUCGAACAAAAACUCAUCGACAAACUCGAGCUCGACUAUGCUUCAACAGUGAUGAAGACGAACUAUUUUCGUAGCUGAAAAUUGAUGGAAAAUUGGUUGGGUUUAAGGAGGGGAGAAGUGCUGUUUUUUUGGAGGUCUUUAAGGGUGUUUUUAGAGCUCUAGUCACUGGUUUUCAUGGAUUUCUGUCGGAUAUCAUGGUAUUUCCGCCGAGUUUUUGUCUUCCCCAUUUACUAUCAUUGAGAGUAUGAUAGCGCGAGAGAAGAUAAUAGCGAAGGUGAGGCUAGCGGGUGUUUUGGCGAGGCGGAAAAGGAAACGUCAUCCGUCACUUCGCCAUAGACAACGGCGACGCAACAACGAUCCUAAGACAAGAUAUAGAGAGAGACCUGAGGGUGAUUUGGUGAAGGCAGUCGAUUCUUCCUAUGGUCUGUCGCUCGCUUCUCUUAAAUUGAGAAUAAGAAGAAGACUCUUUUGAAGCUGAGUGUCAUAGGUGUUUAGGGGCUAGUUUAUCGCUGAUUUUUGGUGAUAAAUAUGCUAUGUUUUCAUGGUAAGAAUGAGAAGGGAAGAAGAUCAGUUUCUGUGCUUUUUGGGUGGUAGUUUAGUUGAGCAUUUGGAGCUUUUUGGAUGGUUAGAAUGAAGGUUUCUGGAGGAAGAAAGAAGAGGAAAUAGUUUCUCGUUUUUCUAUUUUUUUCCAAAUCUCCCUUUUCUGUUCUUUCAUGCUCCCCUCUUGGAAAGAAGCCUUGUGGUCCCCACUAUUAGAAUUGGGAUAAAGAAGAAUAAAAUUUUUUAUAGGUAAGAAUCAUUGGAAUAGAAAGUCACGUGAACGUGGGAAAAAGAUGGCAAGAUGGGACCACCUCCAAUUUCCUUUCUUGCUUUUGUUUUGUUUCGUUUUUUUUUUGUUUUUGCUAUUCUUUUUCAUUCUUUUUAAGACUAUCCAAAAUUACUAUCUAAAUAAUGUAAAAUAUUAAAAAGAGAAUAAGAUAUUU